This is a long non-coding RNA of Tupaia belangeri chinensis (Chinese tree shrew), 171 nucleotides long. RefSeq lists it as uncharacterized. NCBI's taxonomy places the organism in Eukaryota, Metazoa, Chordata, Mammalia, Scandentia, Tupaiidae. The record is from RefSeq and is a predicted model, not a curated record. The transcript has 3 exons.
CACGUGAGAUCCAACUGCCUUAACCAUUAGGUCACACGUCGGGGCCCUUGUUCUACAUUUUUUAGGACCAUCCACUGUUGAUUGAGUUUGAUGUCUAUCACCUCAUCUGUUUUCACAUUCAAGAAAGAAACCAAGCUAGAGAGAAAAAAAGACAAGACAAGACUCUCAGAG